Long non-coding RNA from Anolis carolinensis (green anole), 1390 nucleotides. RefSeq lists it as uncharacterized. The record is from RefSeq and is a predicted model, not a curated record. NCBI's taxonomy places the organism in Eukaryota, Metazoa, Chordata, Lepidosauria, Squamata, Anolidae. The transcript has 2 exons.
AGAAAGCAAUUAGCUAAGGACGCUUGGCUUAGCCUUCUCAUAUUCUCAGCCACUCAUUUGAAUACACACUCUGCACUAGAGCAGCCGGAGAGCCCUUCACUCCAGUUCCCUGUUUGUACGUUGUCAUAGAAAUAGAGUGCUGGCAUUUUCCCCCCAGUUGCCAUGAGACAAAUACCUGACAGGUAAGCAGGCAGGUGAUGGCCUGUCAGACUGGCUUGGGAUAGGAAGAGGGAACAGUUUGAGUCUGGAGAUUUGGGAGAAGGAGGGGAAAGAAUGGGUUGACAGAAGGAAGGGUGGUGAUUUUCUAAGUGCAAGGUUUCUUGAAAUGCCUGUUAUUUAAAACAGCGAUCCUUAUUUCUUAAUGCUAGCCUAUAUAGCAAGUUCUACUGUGUUUUGCGGGAUUUACUCCCUAGUAAAUGCAUUUUGAAAACCAGCAAAAUGUAGUGGUUUGGGAGUCUGACAAGGACUCUGGAAAACAGGGCUUAAUUCCCAGCUCAGCCAUGAAAACCCACUACAUGACCUUGUUUGAGCCAUAUAUUUUCAGCCUCAGAAAAACUGUGCAAUUGAUCAAUUGCAACAUUCACACUUGACUCAAACAGACAAGAGUUCUUUCUCCCAACCUGGACUUUCCACAGAUAUAUAAACCCCACUUGCCUAGUUUCCAUCAGACCUCACAACCUCUGAGAAUGCCUGCCAUAGAUGUGGGUGAAACGUCAGGAGAGAAUGUUUCUAGAACAUGGCCAUACAGCCCGGAAAACUCAUAGAACCCAAAUGUGUUUCAGAUUUCAGCCUUGUAAAACUUCUUUCUUCCUGAAUAUGUUUUAAAGAUAUUACAGUUGCCUCUUGUUCUUGAAAAAUUAGAGAAAACGGGUUUGUAAAUUUGGACAUGCACAGUCACAUUAUAAUGUAUAUACAUACACAUCAACUGCAGUUCUAUUUUGGCCAGCAAGAUUUGGAGUAAAACAAGUAAUUGUUCCUAACUUUUGGUCCUCCAGGCAUUUUUGACUUCAGCUUCCAGAAUUCCUGACAGUUGGACAAGUUGGUUGUGGCUUCUGAGAGUUGAAGUCCCAAACAUGUGGAUGAUCACAAGAUUGGGAACUCAGAGAGGAAAGCAGGCUAUGUUCCCAAUGGCCAUGCGGUAAUUGAGCAUAAAGGACUCUUCCUCUGCAGAUUCCCCUACUAGCUGGAAGAUUUCAGGUGUUAGUGAUGACCGAGACCCCGGCUUUCAAAUUAAUUUGAACCCGCAGCGGAGAGUUCCGCAGAUCCAUCACCAAAGGAAUGGAGCGGGACCGCAGCAGACUAUUAUUAAAAGAUUUUUUUUCUUCGCUUUCCCCUUCCCUGAACUAUGUAACAAAUCCCCCAAUAAAAGUAGCAUUUAUUUUAACAGUAA